This 414-nucleotide ribosomal RNA is filed under the name uncultured bacterium. RNAcentral's name for it is "bacterial SSU rRNA". It matches the Rfam family "Bacterial small subunit ribosomal RNA", at positions 28 to 429 of the family's 1533-position model. The record is from RNAcentral.
GACGAACGCUGGCGGCGUGCUUAACACAUGCAAGUCGAGCGGUAAGGCCCUCCGGGGUACGACGAGCGGCGAACGGGUGAGUAACACGUGGGUGACCUGCCCUUCACUUCGGGAUAAGCCCGGGAAACUGGGUCUAAUACCGGAUAUGACUUCCUGGUGCAUGCCGGGUGGUGGAAAGUCGGUGUUGUAAUGGCAUCGGCAGUGGGGGAGUGGGCCCGCGGUCUAUCAGCUUGUUGGUGGGGUGGAUGGCCUACCAAGGCGACGACGGAUAGCCGGCCUGAGAGGGUGGAUCGGCCACACUGGGACUGAGACACGGCCCAGACUCCUACGGGAGGCAGCAGUGGGGAAGUCUUGCGCAAUGGGCGGAAGCCUGACGCAGCAACGCCGCGUGGGGGAUGACGGCCUCGGUGUAAC